RNAcentral lists this ribosomal RNA (497 nucleotides) under uncultured bacterium. RNAcentral describes it as "bacterial SSU rRNA". It matches the Rfam family "Bacterial small subunit ribosomal RNA", at positions 30 to 518 of the family's 1533-position model. The record is from RNAcentral.
UGAACGCUAGCUACAGGCUUAACACAUGCAAGUCGAGGGGCAGCAUGAGAUUAGCUGCUAAUCUUGAUGGCGACCGGCGCACGGGUGAGUAACGCGUAUCCAACCUUCCCCCUACUCAGGCAUAGCCCGGUGAAAACCGGAUUAACUCCUGAUAGUUUCACUAGAUGGCAUCUGACGGUGAAUAAAGCUUUGCGGUAAGGGAUGGGGAUGCGUCUGAUUAGCUUGUUGGCGGGGUAACGGCCCACCAAGGCGACGAUCAGUAGGGUUCUGAGAGGAAGGUCCCCCACAUUGGAACUGAGACACGGUCCAAACUCCUACGGGAGGCAGCAGUGAGGAAUAUUGGUCAAUGGGCGCGAGCCUGAACCAGCCAAGUAGCCGUGCAGGAAGACGGCCCUAUGGGUUGUAAACUGCUUUUGUGCGGGAAUAAAGUCAGGGACGUGUCCCUGUUUGCAUGUACCGCAAGAAUAAGGACCGGCUAAUUCCGUGCCAGCCGCCGC